GAUGCAUCUAGGCCACAAGGAACAGAGAGCCCUGCUAAACACGCAGCCAGCCACCUCUAGCCACAGGGCUGCUCGGGAAGCCUAGGAGCUCCUGAAGAAGAGGCCCAUUGUUCUGUUUGGGGGCAGCCCCUCCCAGGGGUUUAUGAAGUGAAGAAGAACUCUGAGGUCACACUGGUCAAACAGCAGACAAUGGGCAACACCCUUCUCCACCAGUGAACAAACAGCUGCCUCCCCAGCACAGCACCGUCGUCCUGAGCACUUGGGGCACCAGGGGAGCCAGCACAGGUGCGGAGAUAGAAUGUGGAUUGGGGGGGGGGUGGGUAGGGGGUGAUGGUGAGCACCAUCACAGGAGAUCAAGGCCAGGGAGAAAGGAGAGCCUCCUGGGUUCAAUUCCCUCCUGUCUGUGGGGUUGUAUGAAGCGACUGGUCUGCAAGCCAGAGGCCAGAGUCAAAGGGCUGUUGGCAGGAAGCCAACACACAGGAGCAAAGGGUGAAAGCCCUCAAGUUUAAAGCCAAGUUGCCUGGCUGAAACCCUGAACUGGACCCCACUCAAGGGAGCAAAGACCACACACCAAUGGGAGGAGCCAUAGGCAGAGACAAGAAGACCAGCCCUUGGAGAAGGAGGUGCACAGGGUCUCUCCAACAUUCCCUAGGCCAUCUGAGGGCCUGGCCAAACAGACGUGGGGGUCUGGCCAGCCCCUGCUGCUGCUCUACGCUCUGUCUCAGCACCAGUAAAUGAUGCCAGCUUCCUCAGGGCAUCCAAGUUUCUUGCCCAAGGCCCCUCAGGCCACCUGUGGUGCCAUGCUAAGCAGUGCCUCCCCUCUAACUGUACCACUACUGCCCCCUUCCACAUUCCCUGUUCCAGUACCUUCUCCUGUGCUCAUCUCAGGAGUAGCCGGAGGGCUGAGUGCCUGGCAAGCUUGUGAGCUUGGAGUGGCAGGCCAAAAGGGCCCCACCUCACUAUCCCUGUUCCGCAGGGACUUAAAUCCACCACAGGAAAUUGCCAGGCUAGAUCAGACACCAGCUGGGAAAGAUGGAUGUGUGAGAGCAGCUCCCUGUUCCACCCACACCCAAAACUCUGACAUUGGCUCCACUGGAAGGCUGGGCCAGAGACCAUGGCCAGCCUUCCUCCCAACCCUUUAUUUGGCCUUAGCCAACCUCCAAUGGUGGUCAGUCCUGGGCUUGCCUGACUAAGCACAUUUGGACAAACCCACUGCGGCUGCCCGAUCUCCUGAGAAGGGUCUAUCAGGAGAGCAGAAUGCAACCGCUCCCCUUGGAUGAGCAGGGCAGCAAGGCAUAUCUGACUAAAGCCCCAGAAGCUUCUCCAUGAUCCUGAGAAAGUCACUGCCCUCGAUCUCCCCCCCAGCAGGUUUCUUCUCCUAUCCACCUGGAAGCCCAGGGCGCAGCAACUCUUAGAGGUGCCCAAAUUAUGGAAUGAAGGCAGCAUCUCACACCUCACUGAGUGACAUGGAAGAUGCUCCAGUGGCCAGGCAGAGGUCUGCCCAUCCUCGCUGGGUGCACAAGGCGCCAGAGCUGGAGGAGGGACGUGGUUCGGUCUGCACCAGGCCAAAGACUCCCUCCCGAGACCUAGAGGAUUCUUAGGUCUGUGCGUGUUCAUGUUAGUAGACCGAGCACAGGUUCAGAGUCAGACAGAUGUCAGGCUGAAUCCUGACACUGUGCCACUUCUAGCUGUGUGCCUUCAGGCAAGUUAACAAACUACUCUGACCUUCAACGUCCUCUUGCAACAAGGGGAUAGUAAUUUCUUACGGGGCUCUGCAAGGAUUAAAUCAUGCCACUUCUUUAACAUGCCUAGCACAUGCCUUCAGGUCAAAUGCUUUACUGAAGUCAACUUUUUCAUAAAAAAAAAAAAAAAAAAAAAAAAAGUUCAAGGUAACACCUCUGGGUCUAUGUUAAAUGCCUUAGGGCAUAAAGGAUUUUUUUUUCCUCCCCAAGACCCUUCCUCAAGGAGAGAGCGAGCUCUGGGCAGAAAACCCUGAACUAGAUCCCAGUGCUGCCACUUACUGGCCUUGUGACCUUACAUAAGUCACUCUAGGCCUCGGUUACCAUACCUGAAAAUUGGAGAUAACACCUCCCAGCCAACUUGGCAAAGGAGAUGACAGGUAUGAGAGCUAUUAAGUACCACAUAAAGUAAUCACAGCAGAGAUAACUUCUCCCUUAACACAUUCUGAGCAGGUGAAAUUUUGGAAAUACCAGAUAUCCCUCAUUAUCUUCCUAGUCAGGGCUCUAGAUCCCAUUUCUCAUCAAUUACCUCUGAUUCUCUGAAACGCCAGCCUAUGGAUUAUUUAAAGAGGUUAAGGGUCACAAUUAUGUUCAGGAAGGCUCUACCCUUACACAAAGAAGAAAGAGAUAACGUAAAGGAAACCAGGCCAAGGAUGCCAGCUUUUCUCUAAGCAUAGGCCUAGUCGGCUUCUCAUUUGCUGUUCCUGGCCAGAGAACUGGGUUGACGAGAAGAGCAGCCAGCCAGGUCAGCGUCUGCCCUCCCGGUUCCCAGCCACUCCAGCGCCCCAUGGUUAUUUUUGGCUGACGCUGCCCCACCACUGCAACCUCAAACCUGCCACCUUACAAGUCGCCACCACCGGGUGAAACGCUCCUCCUUUUCAAGGGCAUGGAGGAGGGAAGCUGGAAGAUCGCCAACUCCGCCUCGACGGGGGCCUGGCUCAGGCAACUCCCACCCCAGGUCCACACCAGGGCACCCGCACCCGGAACUAAAGCACACAGGGACUCCCGGACCAGGGAGCAGCCCGGGCAUUUGUACUGUCAACUUGGGCUGGCCCCUCCCCCGGGCUGGAGCGGCUCCAUCAUCACAACAAAACGCGUUGGAGGCCCGCGGCUCUCGCUCGCGUCCCUUCCAGACGUGCCCUGGGUCUUAGAGACCUGAGCCCCUUCCCCCAUAACCGCCGCCAGUGGCGGCCAGGGGAGACUCCGGGGGCAGGCGGAUGGCCAGCCUGAGCCAGAAUCAAACUCCAGGCCGUGCGGGGAGGAGGAGUCUACAGACCCAGCCUCGAGCCAAGGGUAUGGGAGGGGUCUGAAGGCCCCUCCAGGCUCUCCCAGGUAGGACCCCGACCCCAUUCCACGGGAGGUGCAGGGCCGAAACUGAAUCCCUGCAGGGGCCUCAGAGGCAGCUCAGAUUCCGACACCGCGGGAUCCAGAGGUUGGGGUCUGUGGUGACCGCCCCUCCGGGGGAGAAGCGGCGGGUCAGGGGUGAGAGGUCGGGGCCGCGGCCAGAGGCGGGCCGAGGAGGAGAAAGAAAGAGAGUAGGCCGAGACCGAACCGGCAACUCGGGGACCCGUACCCAGCACGUCCUCUUCACCAACUCACCCCCCGCCGCUGCCGCCGCCGCCGUCGCGGGCCCGGGCCCACACUCACCGUCUCCCAGGAUCCGGCUGCGGCUAGGCCCCACUCCCCGCUCCGAGCGCCUCUUCCGCUUCCGGCUCCGGCCUCCGCCCGCGGCGGCCCCGCCCCUCGCGUGACGCAGCCGUCCCCAGUCCUCGCUCGACCUCGCUCGGUGGUCUGGUCGCUCUAGCCCCCGACUCGAAGGCUCUGGAGGACCCGUCUUCGCCGCCCCGGUCCAGGCGACAGCAGUGGAGACUGGUUCCGGGAGGGCAGAGGGGACGUCCCCGACUGCGGCCCGCCCCCCGCCGUGUCGCGACGCACGUAGGCCCCAGGACUCCGCAAGGGUACCGUCCCGCGCUGCGGGCUUUGGGAGCCCCGACCCGGCCGGGGAUCGUGCCUGCUUCUCGGACCCGACCCCCACCCCCCCGUGCCCGCCAACCCUUUCCGCGCGGAGAAGCGGGCAUUGUUGCGCUGACGCCUCAGUGAAAAUCGGACGGGCCUUGAGCGCCCGCCUGGCCCGGGGACCCCGGAGGGCGCCAGAGAUGACGGAAGUCUGUGUCCCGAGGUUCAGGAAGGCGGUCGCGACUCUCGGUUUUGUGGAAGAAGCAAAUGAGACCUUAUUCUUUGUGUGUGUGGCGGGGCGGGGGGGGAGGUUAAAGACAUGCGGCACGCCCACAUUCCCAUGUGCAUGCAGAGCAGAUUCGCGGAAGAUACCCGAGAGCCACGUCGGCGGGGCUUCUGGAGGCACGGGGUCUGGGGGAAAGGGAGUCUCGUUCUCCCUGAGCGGCGCAGUGAGCGGACUCGCAGUGUGUCUCCGCUUAAUAGACCCCCGCCAGAGGAAAGCCCGCGCCCGGCCGCGGCCAAGCCCCGCUGGCCUUUUUUUGCGAAUCACUCGACGCCCCCUUUGGCCGAGGUCGCGAGGACAGGAUCGCUGAAGCCCCUCCCACCCGCUGCCCCGCCCCUGGUGAGGGCGGGACGACGAGACCCCACUUUUCCACGGGAGAAAAACCGAGGUGUGGUCCUUUGUGGAGACCUCACGGUUUGUGAGAGUUCGCGCCCCAGGGCCCUCGCUAGCGUCGCCCGGCUAAGCGGGAGGCUGCGGCCCCUCACUGCCCCCACCCCACGCCAGGGCCCGAACGGCACGAUGCCCCGCCCCUCCCGGGACGGCUCUGUGAGGGCGGGCCGCCCGCCUUCAGGCCGCGCCCACUCCCCAAUGAGGGCUGGGCACGCCCCUGAUGCGAGGCGUCGUGCCCCCGCCCCCGCAGGCGCCGUGCUUGCGGAGCCACCCCUCCCAGAGGCGCGGUGCUUCACCUCGCCUUCUGUCUCUGGCGUUCCCUUAAACUGACGGCGUGGCUCGAGGGGCUGCUUAAUUCCCCCAAUUCUAUGUUAGAUGCUCUCCCGCCCCCCAUCCGAAGUAAACAACGGAAGCUAGGGGAAAACGGGAGGCUUGCUACGCUAACGCAGCCUCAAGAACGGCUCCCGGUCCCCUUCCAACCAAAGGCACCCGCCCCCCAAUACAGAAAUUCAGGAGGUGCUUCGAUUGUGCUGUGGGUGACCGAGAGCCUUGCUGUCCCCAUUCCCUUAGAAUCCUGCCUCAGGGCUGGAGGCAAUGAGUUGCCAUUCUUGCCCGGCCCCCGUGCUUGGCCACAGGCCGCGGCCACACCAGCCUGCUUUCAUCUGGGGUUUCAUCCACUCACACGAGGUGAAUGGACUCUGUGUCUCCUCCCCGCAUCGCGUCGCGUUGCCCGCGUUUUCCAAGGCUUCCGGAAGCCAGGACCGCGUGGGCCGCUGAGGGUGGAGGAGCUGAGAGGGGAACUCCCGUCUCCAGCCCUGCCCUGGGAGCCAGGUUCUUAAGGGUUAAGCCGGCCCAUCUUCCCACCAUCCCUUUCCAUAUUAGGAACCCAGGAGCCCUGCCUCCCAGUAAGGAAGCCAAUCUCAUUUUCUGAAAUGGAACAGGAGCCAUCUCCCAGCCCCUUCUCCAAAAUCUAAAGUUCAGUAGCUGUCCGUGCCUCAGAUUCUACCAUCAGAGCUUCAUUUUUUUCAUUAGGGCUUGUCUUUUUGUUCCUGAAAGAAAUAACACCUAGAAGAAAAAGAGGCAGAGUAUCAGGCACUUGGAAAAAGAUCUGACCUGAGGUGAAGUAAAGGUAACUCUCCCACCCCCAACCCUCUCACCUCUUCCCUCCAAGGCUGAGAUUUUGGGAACUCGCCUGGGGAGCUCAAGCGAGUGGGUCGUCUCCAGGAGCCUUGCUCCAUGUCUUUCCAGGAACCUUGUUCCACAUCCUCUGACCUUCAAGGACCAGCCUCUUUCCCCAGGCCUCUACCCUUGUGCGCACCAAGUCUUUUUCCGUGUGGGCUGAGAACUGCAGCCUGGUUCAAAGGCCCCAGGGAAAUGCCCCUGCCCUGUGCCGUGCUGCCAGUCACCUGACACCCCCAGCAACUCUUGCCCCUCUUGAUGUCCCUUUUGCCCUGCUGGGCUCCUAGCUCAGCGUGCUGCCCCCUCCCGGCCCCAGCUCCUCUGAUCCCCUCCUUGUCCUGCCCACCCUGACUACCACAUCCAUCUUUGUCUUCUCUGGGGCUGUUAAUUCAUCUUUGAGCCUCGGCUGUAGGGUCACCUGUCUGGAAAGCCUUCCUGGGUGCUCCAAGGGGGGAGUCAGGCUCCCCUUCCCUGCGCUCCCACAGCACUGAGGGCCGUGCCUUCUGCUGCACAGGCUCUGCAAGUUCAACAUCUGGUCUGUGCCACUCCCUACUCCGGCAGACCACGAGCCCUUCCACGACCAAGCCAGGCAGAGUUCGGGUUCUCAGGGGGUGCUGGGGGCUACCGUGGGGAGCGCCUGUUUUUAGUGGGAAGACAGAGCACCCAGCCGGAGGGGAGUUGUGGGUGCUCCCCAGGGCCUGGGAGAGCGGGGCGGUGGCCAGUCCUCAUGGUCCAUUUUGGAGAGGAAAUGUGGAGAGACAGCUCCGGAGGGGCUGCAAGAAUGUGGGUCUGGAGACGGGAGAGGAGAGCGGCAAGGUGUCUGAGGGGAGAGGGCUGGUGGGUGGUAGUGCCAUCCUGAACAGGGGGCGGGUCUGGGAAUGUGAGGAGUGAGCAAGUCACUUAGGGGGUGGGGGAGCUCAGCCCAGUGAUGCUGUCCUCAGUGAGCACCUUCUCCCUGUGCCUGCACAGAGCUGGGGCAGGGUGCCUGGUGCCCAGGGGUGUGGGUAGAGAGACAGUGCUAGGAUUCUGAAGCCCAAACCCUGGAGGUGAAGUGGGUGGGCAUAAGGACAAGUGGAGUGUGCAGCCGCUAUCAACCCCACGAGGCCCCUUAACCAAACUGGUGGGGCCUAGGGCUCAGGGCCCCCACCUUACAGCUGAGGCUAUAGAAGCCAAAGAGGGCACUGAAGCAGUAAUUUGGCUUAAGGGCUCUGACCCCCACAUUAGAGCUAAACUACCAUGUCCCCCAGAUGUUCCCCUGUCCCCUACCAUUUCCAGACUCCCACACUGGGAAGGGGAGCAGCAGGGGUGGGGGAGUGUGGGCCCAGUUCACAGUGGACUCCCUUCAUGACCUUGGGGCAACAGGUGAGCCCUUCUGAGCUUCACCUCCCCCUGCCCAAGAUGGAGAGCGCCAGAUGAGCUUGGUUGUUUAGCAAGUGGCCAGGCCGUGGUCAGCAUCACAGCUCAUAGAAGCUGUUGGAACGGAAAACUUCAGGGGUGCUGAGGCUGGUGUUUAUUUGUAGUCUGAAUCAUCAGGGAAAGGUCGAGGCCAAGUGGUUGGGGUUGACAGGUUUAGGUGCAUGUUCAGCCCCGGGGCCUCAGUUUCCAUGUCUGAAGAGGGGUCUCAGAAGCUGAUGCUCUGGGAAGGCAGGACUGCCCCAACUCCAGGGCUUCCCAUCUAUCCUGCUCUCAGGACCCACACUGAGGCAGAGCCCCGUGGACCUGAUGCCUGGCCCCUUCUGCUCUCCCUGGCACUCCCGUCACUUCUGGCCACUGGACCGUGCCUGCUCACCAAGCCCCACUGAAGGGUGCAAAGCAGCAGCUGGCAGAGGAGGGCAGUGCGAAGAUUUCUGUUCAGUUCCCUCCCCGUCAACAUUUGGGAAGACGCUGCCAUCACCCGGCCUACUCCCCUCCAGGUCCAGAUGGGAAAACAAAGCCAUCUUUGUCCAGGAGGUGCCAGUGCCCCUAAGGAAAGAGCUGGAAAAGGAAGAAUCACAUCCCAGGCUUCAAGAGAAGGUGGCUGAGUGCUGGAAGGCACACUGGCACCAGGUGGUAGUUGCCCUGAAAUUUAAAGAACUGCAGAGACCCCAGACAGAGACCGAGGCCUGGUCUCCCCAGGUGGGCGCUCUCUGCCCACCUUCCUCUCCCUCCCCAUGUGCCCCCUCUCCUCGUUCUCUUCCCCACUGCCCAGUCUUUCCUACUGCGAGCCAUUUAGUGUCUUUCUGCUCUUAGGCUGCCCACUAGCUUUAUCCUACACUUCCUUCCCUUCUCCUGCUUCCUCCUCAUUACGCUCCACCCACCCACCCACCCAUCCAUCCUUCUUUCCAU
Acinonyx jubatus (cheetah) is the source of this 7872-nucleotide long non-coding RNA. RefSeq lists it as uncharacterized. The transcript has 4 exons. The record is from RefSeq and is a predicted model, not a curated record. Lineage: Eukaryota; Metazoa; Chordata; Mammalia; Carnivora; Felidae.